Molecule: unclassified non-coding RNA, 112 nt
Filed under: uncultured Glomeromycotina
Lineage: Eukaryota; Fungi; Glomeromycota
Description: sequence contains ITS1
Source: RNAcentral
CCAAUCUUUUAGCGGGUCAUGGGCUUGUCCAUGGUCUCGCGAAACUUUGUAUUUAAAACCCGCUCAUGUAAAUUUUUUAAAUAUGUGUUAUAUUAUAUUAUAUAAAUAAAGA